Molecule: non-coding RNA, 73 nt
Organism: Emiliania huxleyi CCMP1516
Lineage: Eukaryota; Haptophyta; Isochrysidales; Noelaerhabdaceae
Source: Rfam
GCCCCCGUGGCCUAAUGGAUAAGGCGUCCGACCCCGGAUCGGAAGAUUGUGAGUUCGACUCUCACCGGGGGUG